GAUGAACGCUGGCGGCGUGCCUAAUACAUGCAAGUCGAGCGAACGGACGAGACGCUUGCUUCUCUGAUGUUAGCGGCGGACGGGUGAGUAACACGUGGAUAACCUACCUAUAAGACUGGGAUAACUUCGGGAAACCGGAGCUAAUACCGGAUGAUAUUUUGCACCGCAUGGUUCAUAAGUGAAAGACGGUCUUUCUGUCUCUUAUAGAUGGAUCCGAGCUGCAUUAGCUAGUUGGUAAGGUAACGGGUUACCAAGGCAACGAUGCAUAGCCGACCUGAGAGGGUGGUCGGCCACACUGGAACUGGGACACGGUCCAGACUCCUACGGGAGGCAGCAGUAGGGAAUCGUCCGCAAUGGGCGAAAGCCUGACGGAGCAACGCGGCGUGAGUGAUGAAGGUCUUCGGAUCGUAAAACUCUGUUAUUAGGGAAGAACAGAUGUGUAAGUAACUGUGCACAGCGUGACGGUACCUAAUCAGAAAGCCACGGCUAACUACGUG
RNAcentral lists this ribosomal RNA (497 nucleotides) under uncultured bacterium. RNAcentral's name for it is "partial 16S ribosomal RNA". It matches the Rfam family "Bacterial small subunit ribosomal RNA", at positions 28 to 507 of the family's 1533-position model. The record is from RNAcentral.